AUGUGUGAGAAAGUGGACUCUCAAGAAAAGGUAUGGCUUCAAAUAGGCCAGAAUACAGAGAUGAACAAAGCAGGAGUGAAAUCAGCACUGAAGUUCAUGCUGCUGGAGACUCUGGUUUCAUUCUUAGCUGGAAACCUGGCUGAGAGUAGGGUCCCCAAUGAAGGAGUUAGAAAAAGGACUGAGGUAACUGAGGGUUGUUUGGGACUCCAUAGGAAGAACAACAAUAUUAACCAACCAGACAUCCUAGAGCUCCCAGGCACUAAACCACCAACCAGAGUACACAUGGGGGAAUCCAUGUUUCUAGCUGCAUAUGUAGCAGAGGAUGGGCCUUAUCAGGCAUCAGUGGGAGGAGAGUCCCUUGGUCCUGUGAAGGCUCAAUUCCCCAGUGUAGGGGUGAUGCCAGGGGGAAUGCCAGGGCAGAGAGAUGGGAGGGAGCGUUUCAUGGAGGUUGACCGAGUGGCCUACAUCUCCUUUGGGCCCCAUGCUGGAAAGCUGGUCGCAAUUGUAGAUGUUAUUGAUCAAAACAGGGCUUUAGUGGAUGGACCCUGCACUAGGGUGAGGAGGCAGGCCAUGCCUUUCAAAUGCAUGCAGCUCACUGACUUCAUCCUCAAGUUCCCACACAGUGCAAGCCAGAAGUAUGUACAGAAGGCUUGGGAGAAGGCAGACAUCAAUACGAAAUGGGCCGCCACACGAUGGGCCAAGAAAAUUGAUGCCAGGGAAAGGAAAGGCAAGAUGACAAAUUUUGAUCAGUUCAAAGUCAUGAAGGCAAAGAAAACGAGGAACAGAAUAAUCAAGACUGAAGUGAAGAAACUCCAGAGAGCUGCUCUCCUGAAAGCUUCUAAAGAAGCCGCUGUUGCUAAGGCUGCCAUUGCGGCCGCAGUAGCAGCUAAAGCCAAGGUCCCAGCCAAGAAGGCGACAGGACCAGGCCAGAAGGCCGCAGGCCAGAAAACUCCUGCACAGAAGGCUGCAGGCCAGAAGGCAGCGACCCCUGCUAAAGGUCAGAAGGGUCAGAAGACCCCGGCCCAGAAGGCACCCGCUCCAAAGGCAGCCGGCAAGAAAGCAUGAGGAAGCUACACAAAGAGUAAAUGUUCUUUUUGACUGA
Rattus norvegicus (Norway rat) is the source of this 1102-nucleotide RNA transcript. It is a transcript of the gene named ribosomal protein L14 like 1, with no coding region annotated. The record is from RefSeq and is marked validated. NCBI's taxonomy places the organism in Eukaryota, Metazoa, Chordata, Mammalia, Rodentia, Muridae. The transcript is spliced from 2 exons.